This 516-nucleotide ribosomal RNA is filed under the name uncultured Ascomycota. RNAcentral describes it as "eukaryotic LSU rRNA". The stretch from base 155 to 308 matches the Rfam family "5.8S ribosomal RNA". The record is from RNAcentral. Lineage: Eukaryota; Fungi; Ascomycota.
CAUUACCGAGUAACGGGUCCUCUGGGCCCGAACUCCAACCCUCUGCCUACACUACCGACGAAGCUGCUUCGGCGGGCUUAAACCCCCCGCCGGCAGCCUAUCAAACCCUUGCUUUUUGGAUGUACUGUCUGAACGCAAACGAUUAAUAAAUCAAAACUUUCAACAACGGAUCUCUUGGUUCUGGCAUCGAUGAAGAGCGCAGCGAAAUGCGAUAAGUAAUGUGAAUUGCAGAAUUCAGUGAAUCAUCGAAUCUUUGAACGCACAUUGCGCCCCUUGGUAUUCCGAGGGGCAUGCCUGCUCGAGCGCCAUUUCAAACCUCAAGCUCUGCUUGGUAUUGGGCGCGGUUCCCCCCACCUCUCGGGGGGCUGACCCGCCUCAAAGACCUCGGCGGCGUCGUCCGGCUUCGAGCGUAGUGGAACUCUAAUCGGUCUCGCUUUGGAAGCUUCGGGCGGUCGCCUCGCCGCGAAAAACACCCAUUUUUUCACAAGUUUGACCUCGGAUCAGGUAGGGAUACCC